RNAcentral lists this ribosomal RNA (112 nucleotides) under uncultured eukaryote. RNAcentral's name for it is "partial 18S ribosomal RNA". It matches the Rfam family "Eukaryotic small subunit ribosomal RNA", at positions 1299 to 1431 of the family's 1831-position model. The record is from RNAcentral.
UGGUGGAGUGAUUUGUCUGGUUAAUUCCGAUAACGAACGAGACUCUAGCCUGCUAAAUAGUACGCACGUAUUUCAUCGCGUGCCGUACUUCUUAGAGGGAUAGGCUACUUUA